GAUGAACGCUGGCGGCGUGCCUAAUACAUGCAAGUCGAGCGAACAGAUGAGGAGCUUGCUCCUCUGACGUUAGCGGCGGACGGGUGAGUAACACGUGGAUAACCUACCUAUAAGACUGGGAUAACUUCGGGAAACCGGAGCUAAUACCGGAUAAUCUAUUGAACCGCAUGGUUCAAUAGUGAAAGACGGUUUUGCUGUCACUUAUAGCUGGAUCCGCGCCGCAUUAGCUAGUUGGUAAGGUAACGGCUUACCAAGGCAACGAUGCGUAGCCGACCUGAGAGGGUGAUCGGCCACACUGGAACUGAGACACGGUCCAGACUCCUACGGGAGGCAGCAGUAGGGAAUCUUCCGCAAUGGGCGAAAGCCUGACGGAGCAACGCCGCGUGAGUGAUGAAGGUCUUCGGAUCGUAAAACUCUGUUAUUAGGGAAGAACAAAUGUGUAAGUAACUAUGCACGUCUUGACGGUACCUAAUCAGAAAGCCACGGCUAACUACGUG
RNAcentral lists this ribosomal RNA (497 nucleotides) under uncultured bacterium. Its description in RNAcentral is "partial 16S ribosomal RNA". It matches the Rfam family "Bacterial small subunit ribosomal RNA", at positions 28 to 507 of the family's 1533-position model. The record is from RNAcentral.